This 29-nucleotide non-coding RNA is filed under the name Mus musculus (house mouse). The record is from RNAcentral. Lineage: Eukaryota; Metazoa; Chordata; Mammalia; Rodentia; Muridae.
UGACAAGCUGCCUCUUAUAAGUAGGUGUA